AGGGGAAAAGGCACCAGAAUUCAGACGGAGCUUUAAAUUCCAGACAGGGCCAGCGUCGGGAGCACGUAGGAGGCGCCCCUCGGAAAGGAGCCGCAGACCCGGCUGACUUCGCACUUGAGCUCCAGCCCCGUGGACAUUUCCUGUUCUGCCUCUGGAAAUUCAAGCUGAAAGUUACAAAACAUCCUUUUCCCUGGAACCAAGUGCUUGGUUGGGAGACCAUGCCCUCCCCUUCCUUCCUCGGAACUCCUCCCUGAUCGCCCCGUGGCUUCCCCAGGAGAGAUGCGAAAUCAGCGGUAGCAGGUGGCGCAGAAGGGAGAGGGGAGCGACCCUGGGGACCGACUCUGGGGACCCCCGCCGAAGAGGUGAUUCUGGGUAUUAUGACCAUUCCUGCAGAAAAUAACUCUAAAAUCUGGACAUGAUACACAAAGUGACUGCCUAAAGGAGCUGAAGAGAGGACAUAAGUGGAUCGCCUCUGCUGUUGCAUGUUGGCUUGGAGAACAGAAGAUGAGGAGCCAAAUAAGCAAGUCCUUCAGCCCCAGGCUUCUAGCACGGGGCUGCAUGUAGGCUAUGCAUUCUGGGGAGUGAGGAGAUCAUGAAUGCUGAAAAUAAAUGAAGGAAUCCAGAAAAGCAAGAGUCAAAGAAGGCAUCUGCAGGCCAAAUCUCUGAUCAACCCCUGACCCACAUACACACAAAAUACACUCAAAGCAGCUCAGCUAAAGACAAAGAUCUGCACUCAGAGUAGAGCUGCCUCCCCAGAAACAGAGCUCGCAGUUCAGGCCCAGCAAGAAAAUUACCUGCAAAACACAGGAAAAACAACACUCAUCAGAGAAAAAGAACAGAAUCUGGAAUCUUCACAACCUAGCAUUCAUCAUAUCCAAGAUUGAAACCCAAAUUAUGGGACAUAUUUAAAAACCAGGAAAAUGGAACGUAGUCUUAAGAGAAAAGUCAAUCAAAUCUGACCUGGAGAUGAAUAAUAUAUUGAAACUUAAAGGGCAAGGGUUUUAAUUUUUGUUUUCUUGUUUUUUUUCUGUUUGUUUGUUUGUUUUUGUUUUUGUUUUUUGAGAUGGAAUCUUGCUC
This 1077-nucleotide long non-coding RNA is filed under the name Pan troglodytes (chimpanzee). RNAcentral's name for it is "long non-coding RNA NONPTRT016651". Lineage: Eukaryota; Metazoa; Chordata; Mammalia; Primates; Hominidae. The record is from RNAcentral.